UACGUAGGGUGCGAGCGUUGUCCGGAAUUACUGGGCGUAAAGAGCUCGUAGGUGGUUUGUCGCGUUGUUCGUGAAAACUCACAGCUUAACUGUGGGCGUGCGGGCGAUACGGGCAGACUGGAGUACUGCAGGGGAGACUGGAAUUCCUGGUGUAGCGGUGAAAUGCGCAGAUAUCAGGAGGAACACCGGUGGCGAAGGCGGGUCUCUGGGCCGAAAUUGACGCUGAGGAGCGAAAGCGUGGGGAGCAAACAGG
This 253-nucleotide ribosomal RNA is filed under the name uncultured bacterium. RNAcentral's name for it is "partial 16S ribosomal RNA". It matches the Rfam family "Bacterial small subunit ribosomal RNA", at positions 524 to 776 of the family's 1533-position model. The record is from RNAcentral.